AGUCUUACACUCCCGGGAAGGGGGUGUGGCGGACGGCUGAGUAACACGUGGCUAACCUACCCUAAGGAGGUGGAUAACCCCGGGAAACUGGGGAUAAUCCACCAUAGGCGAGGAUUCCUGGAACGGUUCCUCGCUGAAAGGCCCAUAGGCUGUUCCCGUCUAUGGGCGCCUUAGGAUGGGGCUGCGGCCUAUCAGGUAGUUGGGGGAGUAAAGGUCCCCCAAGCCGAUAACGGGUAGGGGCCGUGAUAGCGGGAGCCCCCAGUUGGGCACUGAGACAAGGGCCCAGGCCCUACGGGGUGCACCAGGCGCGAAACGUCCCCAAUGCGCGAAAGCGUGAGGGCGCUACCCCGAGUGCUCCCGUAAGGGAGCUUUUCCUCACUCUAAAAAGGUGAGGGAAUAAGCGGGGGGCAAGUCUGGUGUCAGCCGCCGCGGUAAUACCAGCUCCGCGAGUGGUCGGGACUAUUACUGGGCCUAAAGCGCCCGUAGCCGGCCCGGUAAGUCAUCCCUUAAAGACCCCGGCUCAACCGGGGGAAUGGGGGUGAUACUACCGGGCUAGGGGGCGGGAGAGGCCAGCGGUACUCCCGGAGUAGGGGCGAAAUCCUCAGAUCCUGGGAGGACCACCAGUGGCGAAAGCGGCUGGCUAGAACGCGCCCGACGGUGAGGGGCGAAAG
Molecule: ribosomal RNA, 671 nt
Filed under: uncultured Sulfolobus sp.
Lineage: Archaea; Thermoproteati; Thermoproteota; Thermoprotei; Sulfolobales; Sulfolobaceae
Description: bacterial SSU rRNA
Rfam family: Archaeal small subunit ribosomal RNA
Source: RNAcentral